This 72-nucleotide transfer RNA is filed under the name bacterium. RNAcentral describes it as "tRNA-Ile". It matches the Rfam family "tRNA". Rfam says of the family: Transfer RNA (tRNA) molecules are approximately 80 nucleotides in length. Their secondary structure includes four short double-helical elements and three loops (D, anti-codon, and T loops). The record is from RNAcentral.
GCGCGUGUAGUUCAGGGGUAGAACGCCGAACUGAUAAUUCGGAGGCCCAUGGUUCGAUUCCAUGCACGCGCA